GGGCUCGUGGUGUAGAGGCCUAACAUGCCUCCCUGUCACGGAGGAGAUCGCCGGUUCGAAUCCGGUCGGGCCCGCCA
This 77-nucleotide transfer RNA is filed under the name Candidatus Saccharimonadota bacterium. RNAcentral describes it as "tRNA-Asp". It matches the Rfam family "tRNA". From Rfam's summary of the family: Transfer RNA (tRNA) molecules are approximately 80 nucleotides in length. RNAcentral also lists the same sequence under 7 other names. Lineage: Bacteria; Candidatus Saccharimonadota. The record is from RNAcentral.